Non-coding RNA from Pelobates cultripes (western spadefoot toad), 534 nucleotides. The record is from the annotation of a GenBank genome assembly. NCBI's taxonomy places the organism in Eukaryota, Metazoa, Chordata, Amphibia, Anura, Pelobatidae.
CUUUGGAAGUUAACCCUUUACCACCUGGGAAAUCAUGUCAGCAGUUUACUCUUUGACCACUGGCAAUAGAUUUUUUUUUAUUAUGACAAUUGCCUGGUGGGGGCUCCCCUAAGUGUAGACAAGCAACUACUGGUCUUGGACAUCUCAUUUGUCCAGUUGUUUGAAUACGGACAAAUGUGCAGGUCCGUCCUUUGGUUAUUUCACUUAUUUCUUCAUGGGGGACCCAUUCCAUGUACCCUCUGUUUAUUUCUGAGUCCUACAUGCACCCAAUAUCUUUGUUUUUUGUGUUCAUGUGAAGGUGAUUUCACCAUAAAAAGCUGAGGCGUUUCAAUGUGUUUUACUAUGCUGUUAAACAGCAUGUUGUUAAACUAUUCUUUUAAAAGUGGAGUUUAGUUGACCUCCAGUAGCAAGUCAUCUCUCUAGGACACAAAAUUCUGAGAACCAUUACUACAGCCUAUCAACCUUAAACUAUUUGCAGUUAAACACUGGAAGAGGAAUAUAUAUGCAGUAAAGGUGCUCAGGAAUGUGAUUGUG